Zonotrichia albicollis (white-throated sparrow) is the source of this 3751-nucleotide non-coding RNA. The record is from RefSeq and is a predicted model, not a curated record. Lineage: Eukaryota; Metazoa; Chordata; Aves; Passeriformes; Passerellidae.
AAUAAAACAGGAAAAAGGAAAGAAAAAAUAUAAGUUGAAAUGUCUUAGAUUUGUAGUUAGGCAUCAUCAUUCCUCUAUGGACAACUUAAUUAACAGCAUUCUGAGCAUAAAAACAUUUUGGAGAGCCUCCUUCCUAUUGUUAUUGUUAGAAAACCAGUCCUAUUUCUUUAAAUAACACAGAAACUAUUCAUGAGAAAGAAUGAAUUUUUUUUCCUUAAUAUUACUUCAAAAACCAUGAUUACUGGUGUUUUUGUCAUAUGGUGUUUCUGACACAAAAUAUUAAUAACCACUACUAAAGCAAGAGAGAAGAAGUCUGAACAUAAAUUUUGAUGAGUGAUUACUUCUAGGUGAGGCUUUUCUGCACUGACUGAGUAAAGUGCUUUCAAAAUAGCUAAAACCUUACACUUAAGGAAGUGUAAAGUGACUUACUCAUGCUUAACUGUGUUAAAGAUUCUCAAUUCAGCAGCGAGUGUUCAGCUAGGUAAUUUCAAAAUAACUGGAAGCUAUUUAUGGACAGAUAAGCAAAAGACUUCACAAUUUGGUGAACCAUGUUUAUAUGUCUUAUAGAUGAGGAGAGAAAAUACACAUUAAUUAAUAUUAAGCCUUAAGGAUUAUUAGUGGCAUUUGAUAAAUUAAAUUGCAUUUCUUCUCUCUUUGGUAAGUUUAACCUUUCCAGGAAUACCCACUUCAUACCAGAUGAGUUUGUCUGUAGUUAUUUCAUACAAUCACUUACAUAUAUUACAGGAAGGAAUGAAAUCCAAUUCUUGCACUGUACUUUUGCUAAUUUUGUCUCAAAAAUCAGUAGUGCUGAUUUUCUUCUAAAAAGCAAUGAAGACUAGAAUAUUUCUUCUUGUUGUUGUGUGUGGUAUGCACAUAAUUCUCUGAACAGAGAGAGACAUAAUUCUCUCUCCCAGGAUUUUCCUGGGAAGCUGUGCGAUGCAGUGAGAAAGCUCAGAGAAGAAGAUAAACAAUUCUUAUCUUUACUUGCUGCAUCUGUUGUUUGGCACAUGUGGAAUGUGUUAUGGAGAUUGUUUACCAAAAGGGAUUUCUUAAUUGCACACUGGUGAUGGUGGUUUUGAUUGAUUGACCAAUUAGGUCAAAUCUAUGUUGUGACUGUCUGAAAGGGUCACAUGUUUUUAGUUUAGUAUUAGCAUAGUAUAAUAUUAGUAUGUAGUGCAAUAUAAUAUAGUACAGCUUAAUAAAGAAUUUGUUCAGCCUUCUGAAAUCAGGGAGUCAAUGCACGUUACUCUCCCAUCAGGGGUCUGCUACAAUAAUUGUGCUGUUCCUUCUUGUUUUCAAACAUUUUUUAAAGCUGUUGGCUUGUAAAAUAUGGUGAGAAAUGCUGAGAAUGAAGUGCCAGAAGACCUGUUUAUAAAGUGUCAAGUAUGACUGAAUCAUUUGCCUACCAUUCAAACUCAUCCAUAUUCCCUAUAAAAAAAACCAAUCAUUGCAAAAUAUUUAAAAGAUAAUAUGAAAUAAGAUGUUUCACAAGCAACUGAACUAAUAAAGCUCAACUUCCUAUUAAUUUAUGUAUAUAUGCUCCUACUGCAACAAUCUCAGCUCACCCAAAUUUUCUUCCAUCUGACCACUCUAUUAUAUUUAUCUCUUAAUCUCUCAGAUCUCCAAAAGCCUCCUCAAAACCCAAGAUCCACAGAGUUCCCAGACCUUCCUCCCAGUAUCUCAGUCUCAUGACACAUUCAAAACCACAUCAGCUGUUUCUGCACACCUCCCAAACCCAAAAUCAUUUUCAAGAAGGGUAAGAAGGACAACCCUGAAAACUACUGCAUGUCAGGCUCACUUCAGUGCAUGGUAAAGCCAUGGAAAAGAUGACUCUGGGAGGUACUGAAAGCACCCAGAGGACAAUGCAGUCAUUGGUCACAGCCAGCACAGCUUCCUGAGGGGAAAUCCUGCUUGUGGAACCUGAAGUCCUUCUGUGACAGGGUGACCCACCCAGCUGAGCAAGGGGAGCCAGGUGAUGGAACCUUUUGGACUUCAGCAGAACUUCUGAUAAACUCUCACAGCCUCCUUCUGGACAAAAUAUCCAGCACAGUGCUGCAUAACUGUUACAUGAUGGCUCUCCUGGACCCAGGACUCAAUACUGAGUUUGCACUAAAUUGGGAGGAGCUGUCCACUCCCUUGAAGGCAGGGAAAGGUUCUUCCCCCACAGGGUGCUUGGCCCUGGAACAGCUCCCCAGGGAAGUGUCACUGCACCAGGCCUGACAGUUCAAGAAGUGUUUGGACAAUGCUCUCAGGCACAUGGUGUGACUCUUGGGGGAUCCUGCACAGGGCCAGGAGUUGGACUUGUUAAUCCUGGUGGAUCCCUUCCAACUCAACAAAUGAUUAGCUAUGAUUAACUAUCUAUGGUUAACUCCUGAGCUCUGUUUUAUGUGUCUUUAAGAUCACUGAGCCUUCUAUCAUCACCACCUGGGCUUAACAAAUCCCAUCUGCUGCCUGGCCAGGGUCUGAGCCAAGCAGAACAGGUCAUUGCUGAGCAGGCAGCAGCUGGGUAGGUAUUUCAGCCUCUCUCUUGGUGCCAGUACAAAUGAAGUCUGCAUCAUCCAGCUACCAAGUUUCAUGAAACUUGCAGCAAUUUAUUAUCUAUGAACCUCCUCCUGUUCCUUGAAAUCAAAGUGCCCAUAAGCUUAAAACGUGACUAUAGACAGUGGAGUGAGAGAGCAGGACUGUGUGAGCCCUGUCUCAUUAGAAGCUGCAUCCAUAAAACAACAAGAAAAUGCCUGCUUAAGUACAGGAACCAGGGUUUCAUGAGUAAGGAGUCUUCUCCUCUACACCAAGGUGCAUGCUAGAUGCUAAGAGGCAGCCAUAGUCCAUCAUGAAGUGAGUUUGACCUCACUGCAAAAAAAGGCAGAAGUUCCAUCAUCAGGGAUUGUAACUUCAGCAGAGGAAGCAACAAGUGAGGUGACCACUAUUCCUUGUUCCCAAGCCUUGUAAUGGUCUUGAGGACGCCCUUCCUCACCUUCCUCACCAGACUGAGGGGAGGCAGCUGCUGUCUGUGCAGAGAUUUCUCCAUGACAAAAGAAUCUGACUGCUUUAAGGACACUUCAAGCUGCCUAUAACCAUCAAAAAGGAAAAGAGACCUCUGGUUGUAAGCCAGUGCCUUAGAAUGGCAAAUUAUCCACAUUCAUCAGUGUUUAUUGGCCAAAUCCUUCUCCAGCCUGAAGCCACAACUGGCAACAGCUGCAACAAACAUACCUUAUAAAGUUUUUAGAAGUACAGGAUUUAUGAGCUCUUUUUAAAAGCAUUUAAGACAAAAAACCCCAAAACCUCCAAACCAGCAAACUUGGCAUAAAUCAAAGUGUAGGAGAAUGUUCUCUGCUGCCAAUGAUACCAAGAAAGGCCCAAACUUCAAUUUGUAUCACAGAGAGAGAAUAUGUGACAAUAUAAAAAAAAUGGGAUCUGCAUAGCAAUGGAGAGAUACCUGCACAUUUUCAGAAAAAUAAAGAGAAUUACUUUCUAAAUCUGUUAGCCUUUUAUUGUAGGCCAACUGUGUAAUGUGUUCACUACUUUCUUAUUUUUAAUGAUGCUCCUCAAAGAGGUAAUAGUUGUAGUUAUAGAAGAUAUUUCUGACAUAAAGAAAUGUCUAAAUAUGCUGCUUUUAACUAACUUGAGUGAAAAAGCAUUUUCAAAUGAUACUGAACUCACGGCAAAAAUAUUUUUUCUAUUUUGGUAGCACAGUGCAAACUUGUGACUAAUUCUCUGGCUGCUGUCAUCAAUAAAUUUUCUUUGGAAUCAC